GCGCGGCCGAGAGAGAUGUGCUGUAGCGCACUGCUGCAGUAUACUGCUGCCCCCUAGCGGGCGGACGCCCCGCACCGUCACACGCAGCUCAAAUAGGGAAGCGGCGCCGGCAAGAACGCGCGUCUCUCGUCGCAGCAGCGCCGGAGUCCGCAGCGCCCACUUUAAUCUCAUUAACGCUUUAGGGCUUCCUCUCUAAUUGAGUUAGACGUUGCUGAACUACGUUUGUGGCUCCCCGCGUUAUUUUUUUUUCUCAACAGUACUGGGAUAUACAGUGUUUUUUUUUAUUGUAUUUGCAUAUGCUAAGCCUAAGGGCUCCGCUGGAUCCUGUCAUUCUCUGGCUUUAUUUUUUUUUCCAGAACCUGACGCUCGAGUAACUAAGUAUUGGUGUGUGUCACUGCGGAUCUGCCAUGUGUUUCCCUGAGCUUUCUUCCAAGCUAUAUGCAGUGGAAUGCGCACAGUUCUGAGUUGGAGAAAAGUGUCUGUGAAAUACAUAAAAGCAAAGGAAUCAUUUCAACAUGCAGUAAUACUUUAAACCGCAGAUCACUGGGGAAAGUAAAAGAAGAUUAUGAACCUUGGAAGUAUGGAACAUUUUUCUCUGGCUGGGCACUCAACAUACCUCCCACUCUACCUGCAUGGCUGCGCUUAAUACCUGUCACCAGGAUGAAGCGCAAGGACUCUUCAUCAGUUUUCAUCCAGAGGCUGGUUAUACAGAAAGUGAAGUUUUAUGCUACUGUUCUUGUGUCUGGGAAAAUACAAAGAGACUCUGUGUGUGUAAUGGCAACAAAGUAUGAGACAAAUGUCAAAUUCAUCCAAGACUUGUGAUAAAGAUGUGUGAUAAAUAACUUGUGAGCCCCUGUCAUGUGGCAGUUCUUCAGCAGAGCCUACUCAAGUGUGAACUGGUUAAUGAGAAACCGAAAUGAAAUGAGUUUGGUAGAGACCUGAUGAGGACAGGCAGGACAAGGGCAGCUGGAAAUAAGGAAUCAGUUACAAGUUGUGUUGCUGUUUAAAUGUGUUACUUAAUAUAAUAAAAUCCAAACAGAUACAAACA
Molecule: long non-coding RNA, 1048 nt
Filed under: Scleropages formosus (Asian bonytongue)
Lineage: Eukaryota; Metazoa; Chordata; Actinopteri; Osteoglossiformes; Osteoglossidae
Description: lncRNA (ENSSFOG00015024596.1)
Source: RNAcentral